CUACGGGGUGCUGCAGUGAGGAAUAUUGCACAAUGGGGGGAACCCUGAUGCAGCAACGCCGCGUGGAGGAUGACGCAUUUCGGUGUGUAAACUCCUUUUAUAUGUCAAGAAAAUGACGGUAGCAUAUGAAUAAGCACCGGCUAACUCCGUGCCAGCAGCCGCGGUAAUACGGAGGGUGCAAGCGUUACUCGGAAUCACUGGGCGUAAAGGACGCGUAGGCGGGUUGGAAAGUCAGGUGUGAAAUCCUACAGCUUAACUGUAGAACUGCACUUGAAACUUCUAAUCUAGAGUUGGGCGGGGGAGAUGGAAUUAGUGGUGUAGGGGUAAAAUCCGUAGAUAUCACUAGGAAUACCUAAAGCGAAGGCGAUCUCCUGGAACAUUACUGACGCUAAGGCGUGAAAGCGUGGGGAGCAAACAGGAUUAGAUACCCGCGUAGUC
Molecule: ribosomal RNA, 438 nt
Filed under: uncultured bacterium
Lineage: Bacteria
Description: partial 16S ribosomal RNA
Rfam family: Bacterial small subunit ribosomal RNA
Source: RNAcentral